Molecule: ribosomal RNA, 492 nt
Filed under: uncultured bacterium
Lineage: Bacteria
Description: partial 16S ribosomal RNA
Rfam family: Bacterial small subunit ribosomal RNA
Source: RNAcentral
AGUGAACGCUGGCGGUAGGCCUAACACAUGCAAGUCGAACGGCAGCACAGUAAGAGCUUGCUCUUACGGGUGGCGAGUGGCGGACGGGUGAGGAAUACAUCGGAAUCUACUUUUUCGUGGGGGAUAACGUAGGGAAACUUACGCUAAUACCGCAUACGACCUACGGGUGAAAGCAGGGGAUCUUCGGACCUUGCGCGAUUGAAUGAGCCGAUGUCGGAUUAGCUAGCUGGCGGGGUAAAGGCUCACCAAGGCGACGAUCCGUAGCUGGUCUGAGAGGAUGAUCAGCCACACUGGAACUGAGACACGGUCCAGACUCCUACGGGAGGCAGCAGUGGGGAAUAUUGGACAAUGGGCGCAAGCCUGAUCCAGCCAUACCGCGUGGGUGAAGAAGGCCUUCGGGUUGUAAAGCCCUUUUGUUGGGAAAGAAAAGCAGCAGGUUAAUACCCCGCUGUUCUGACGGUACCCAAAGAAUAAGCACCGGCUAACUUCGUG